Molecule: non-coding RNA, 217 nt
Organism: Pelobates cultripes (western spadefoot toad)
Lineage: Eukaryota; Metazoa; Chordata; Amphibia; Anura; Pelobatidae
Source: the annotation of a GenBank genome assembly
AUCACUGAGAAGCGGAUUACAGUAGUCAAGACGAGAAAGGACAGUGUAAUGGACCAGCACCUUAGUUGCAUUUGGCGUUAAGUAGGGUUUGAUGCACGCAAUGUUUUUGAGAUGGAAGCGGCAGGAUUUGGCGUUAGACUAUACAUGAGGCAUGAAGGAGGGGACAGAGUCAGAGAACACCUAGGCAGCCAUCCUGCAUGGUGGAGCUGAUGUUAGC